This is a non-coding RNA of Podarcis lilfordi (Lilford's wall lizard), 74 nucleotides long. The record is from the annotation of a GenBank genome assembly. NCBI's taxonomy places the organism in Eukaryota, Metazoa, Chordata, Lepidosauria, Squamata, Lacertidae.
GGUUGUAGCUCAAUGCUUAGAGCACCCGCCUUGCAAGCAGAAGGUCGCAGGUUCAAAUCCAGUUAAAAAGACCA